GAUGAACGCUAGCUACAGGCUUAACACAUGCAAGUCGAGGGGAAACGAUAGAGAAAGCUUGCUUUUUCUAGGCGUCGACCGGCGCACGGGUGAGUAACGCGUAUCCAACCUGCCCAUCACUUGGGGAUAACCUUGCGAAAGUAAGACUAAUACCCAAUGAUAUCUCUAGAAGACAUCUGAAAGAGAUUAAAGAUUUAUCGGUGAUGGAUGGGGAUGCGUCUGAUUAGCUUGUUGGCGGGGUAACGGCCCACCAAGGCGACGAUCAGUAGGGGUUCUGAGAGGAAGGUCCCCCACAUUGGAACUGAGACACGGUCCAAACUCCUACGGGAGGCAGCAGUGAGGAAUAUUGGUCAAUGGACGAGAGUCUGAACCAGCCAAGUAGCGUGCAGGAUGACGGCCCUAUGGGUUGUAAACUGCUUUAUAAGGGAAUAAAGUGAGUCUCGUGAGGCUUUUGCAUGUACCUUAUGAAUAAGGACCGGCUAAUUCCGUGCCAGCAGCC
This 499-nucleotide ribosomal RNA is filed under the name uncultured bacterium. RNAcentral describes it as "bacterial SSU rRNA". It matches the Rfam family "Bacterial small subunit ribosomal RNA", at positions 28 to 516 of the family's 1533-position model. The record is from RNAcentral.